RNAcentral lists this transfer RNA (77 nucleotides) under Ixodes scapularis (black-legged tick). RNAcentral describes it as "tRNA-Pro". The stretch from base 5 to 73 matches the Rfam family "tRNA". From Rfam's summary of the family: Transfer RNA (tRNA) molecules are approximately 80 nucleotides in length. Their secondary structure includes four short double-helical elements and three loops (D, anti-codon, and T loops). The record is from RNAcentral. Lineage: Eukaryota; Metazoa; Arthropoda; Arachnida; Ixodida; Ixodidae.
UCCUGCCUAGCUCAGUUGGUAAAGCGCUCCACUGGGAAUGAAGAGGUCCCGGGUUCGAUACCCGGACCAGGCGGGUU